GUUUCCAGGGUUCAUCGAGGCUGGAGCAGGUGUUGGCGCUUCCUUCCCUUUUGUGGCUGAACAACACCCCAUCACGUGGCCGCCCCGCGUUCGAUGACAACACGCUCCACGUGCCGGAGGUCAACUUCACCUUCCCCAGCGCCGUGUGGCAGAGCAGCAGCAGCCCCAGCAGGGUGCCCCUCCUGCCGCGGGACAUCCGAGGGUCUACAGACAGCGGAGGCCACCACCACAGCCCGCAGUCCCCCAGCAACGUCCGCAGGCACCGCAGCGGCAGCGCCAAGAGGCCAAGAAGACCCAAGUGACGAUGCGGCGGGCAGAGCGGGAGGCGGCAGGGGACCCGCGCACGCGCUCUCUGCCCCGGAGCUGGAGUGGACAGAUGCCGGCCCUGGCAGGGCCCCUCUGGGGGCGGCCCGCCCCAGCCUCCCACAGCCCUUUGUCCCAGUGGCGCCUCCCCACCACCUUCAGAGGCAGGCUGUCCGUGGAGUGACACAGCCUUCCCAGGACCCCUCCCUGGGCGCCAGGGCCUUUUCCGGGGCCUUCCCGCCCAGGACCACUGCACACGGUGCGUUCUGCUCCGGGAGAGUGCGCUCUGUGUGCUAGGACGCCAGGCCGUCCCCCUCCAGGUCAGGCUCAGGCUGCAAACCACGGGGGACACCCGAGUGGCCACCAGCAUCGUGUAUUAGCCGGGAUUCUCCAGAGAAACAGAACCAAUGGGGGUGUGUGCGUGUGCGUACACAAAAGAGAGAGAGGUCAAGUCUUCCUUUAAGGAGUGGCUCACGUGACUGCAGGGCUGGCCCGUCCGAAGCUAGCAGGGCGGCCUGGAGACCCGAGGAAGAGCUGCGGCCACAGCCUCGAGUCUGGGGGCAGAAUUCCCUCUUCCUCGGGGGUCUCAGUCUUUUUUUCUUCAACUUGAUGCAGGCUCGGUGAGCCGAGGAGUUGAAGGAAAGAUUUCUUGGACUCUCAAGGUCUGGCAGUAGUGCUGUUUUAUUUAGAGAAUAGUGUGGAAUAGCAUGGGGACAGGACCCAUGGGCAGUCAGGCUGCUGCAUGGGGACAGGACCCACGGGCAGUCAGAGCUGCUGCUGCCGCUUCUGCUGCCAACAUGGGUGGAAAGUAAGGCUAAAUUGAAGGCAUAGGUAUGUGAGCCAUCUCUUUACAAGACAAAGGAAAGAACACGUAAAAAAGUUAAAAUGGUAUCAGUGCAGGUGCGGUCCGGCCAUUGGGUGGUCCCACAACUUUUAGAUGAGAAUCAAAUCGGAUUAAGUAAAGGCCAGAAGCCACCACCCUAAAUCAGUUACAUGAGGUUGCCAGACAGUAACCAACUUAAGUUCUUGCCUUUGGCAUUGACUAAGAGCUUCCAGAGACAAGGUCUUCUCCCUUCUUCCUGGCACAGAGAGGGAGGCAACCCCACAGACGGAGGUUUCCCCUACAAAUGUAAAUGCCUCCCAACAAAGGGCGAGCAAACUCAGCUCCUUGGAGCCUGCUUCUCAUCUGCAGUUUUAAAAUUAACCAGCCUAAAAUCCUCAUCAAACUGAUAGGGUGAGGCCCACUCACAUUCUGGAGAGUGGUCUGCUUGAGUCAGCCUACCUCCCGAUUUCCAUGUUAAUCUCAUCUGAAACAUACCUUCACAGCAAUGUCCAGACCGGUGUUUGACUGCACCUCUGGGUACCGUGGCCUGGCCAAGCUGAUGCAUAAAAUUAACCCCCACGCUCCCCAGGCCUUGGCCAGCCUGCAGAGUGGCGCUGGUCACCUCCCCACGUGCACACAGGCUCCCGGACAAGCCCGGCGUCGGGAAAGACAACAACAGUCUCCCAUUCCUAUGCGGGAACCUCCCCACCCCCCACCGCGUCCUGACCUCCCUCUCAGCACCCUGAGGGCACCGAGAGGGGAAGCUGCCAACUGUCGGGAAUGAGAUGGAAACGUGAGGGGAUGUGCGUCCAGCCCCAGAAACCCAAAACCCAAAGUCAGGGUUCCGAUUGCCUUAGGAUCGCACAGCUUCACUCAGUUUCCCUCAAGAGAGGAAAACGAGAACAUCCCCGGGCACCGGCCCCUGGGAGCUGGGGCGUCAGCUCGCCUGGCUGUGCCUUCGGCCCUCGCCGUGGGGACCGGAGCCCCCUCCCUCAUGGCGGGC
This 2129-nucleotide long non-coding RNA is filed under the name Equus asinus (donkey). Its description in RNAcentral is "lncRNA (ENSEASG00005037582.1)". Lineage: Eukaryota; Metazoa; Chordata; Mammalia; Perissodactyla; Equidae. The record is from RNAcentral.